RNAcentral lists this ribosomal RNA (253 nucleotides) under uncultured bacterium. Its description in RNAcentral is "partial 16S ribosomal RNA". It matches the Rfam family "Bacterial small subunit ribosomal RNA", at positions 524 to 776 of the family's 1533-position model. The record is from RNAcentral.
UACGUAGGGUGCGAGCGUUAAUCGGAAUUACUGGGUGUAAAGCGUGCGCAGGCGGUUCGCUGUGUCCGAUGUGAAAGCCCCGGGCUUAACCUGGGAAUGGCAUUGGAAACUAACGGGCUCGAGUGUGGCAGAGGGGGGUGGAAUUCCACGUGUAGCAGUGAAAUGCGUAGAGAUGUGGAGGAACACCGAUGGCGAAGGCAGCCCCCUGGGCUAACACUGACGCUCAGGCACGAAAGCGUGGGGAGCAAACAGG